GUACACGAGCGGCGAACGGGUGAGUAACACGUGGGUGACCUGCCCUCAGCUUCGGGAUAAGCCUGGGAAACCGGGUCUAAUACCGGAUACGACCAGGCGCUGCAUGGUGGGUGGUGGAAAGUUUUUUCGGCUGGGGAUGGGCCCGCGGCCUAUCAGCUUGUUGGUGGGGUGAUGGCCUACCAAGGCGGUGACGGGUAGCCGGCCUGAGAGGGCGACCGGCCACACUGGGACUGAGACACGGCCCAGACUCCUACGGGAGGCAGCAGUGGGGAAUAUUGCGCAAUGGGCGGAAGCCUGACGCAGCGACGCCGCGUGGGGGAUGACGGCCUUCGGGUUGUAAACCUCUUUCGCCAGGGACGAAGCUUUUGUGACGGUACCUGGAGAAGAAGCACCGGCCAACUACGUGCCAGCAGCCGCGGUAACACGUAGGGUGCGAGCGUUGUCCGGAAUUAUUGGGCGUAAAGAGCUCGUAGGCGGUGUGUCGCGUCGGCCGUGAAAACUUGGGGCUUAACUCUGAGCGUGCGGUCGAUACGGGCAUCACUUGAGUUCGGCAGGGGAGACUGGAAUUCCUGGUGUAGCGGUGAAAUGCGCAGAUAUCAGGAGGAACACCGGUGGCGAAGGCGGGUCUCUGGGCCGAUACUGACGCUGAGGAGCGAAAGCAUGGGGAGCGAACAGGAUUAGAUACCCUGGUAGUCCAUGCCGUAAACGUUGGGCGCUAGGUGUG
Molecule: ribosomal RNA, 724 nt
Filed under: Pseudonocardia sp.
Lineage: Bacteria; Bacillati; Actinomycetota; Actinomycetes; Pseudonocardiales; Pseudonocardiaceae
Description: bacterial SSU rRNA
Rfam family: Bacterial small subunit ribosomal RNA
Source: RNAcentral